AUCUUAAUUCAACUUACUUUUUCUUCCUAAUUCUCUCUACAUUUUUAUCACCUCACGUAUCAUAUGUGGAGACAUUAUGUAUGCCUAUAUAAAGAACUCUAAAACCAACAAAGUUGCACAUCUCAGAAACAAUAACCAUAACACUUGUUACAAUGAGUUCCAACAAUUCCAAACAAACCUAUCAACUUCCCACAGAGGUGGUAGCAAAGCCCGAUGAUGCUUACCUCUCUGCUUUGUCACUGUGUUUUAGUAGAAUCUUCCCUGCAAUCUUAAAUGCUGCUAUUGAUCUCAAUUUGUUUGAGAUCAUAGCGGAGGCGCAGAGUACUUCAUGCGGAGCAAGCUUGUCUGCCUCUGAGAUUGCUUCUCUGCUUCCAAAUCAACACUCUGAAUUGGCAAACAGGCUUGACCGCAUUUUACCUGUGCUGGCCAGUUAUUCUCUUCUUACUUGCUCCAUUCGCACCGAUGAAGAGGGUAAGAGAGAAAGAGUUUAUGCUCUCUCACCCGUUGGUGAUUACUUUGUUUGUGAUAGCAGAGGAGGCUUUUUAGUUCACUAUCAAUUAUAAUUCAUCGAGGAUUUCAAGAUGUUUGGAAUGAUAUAAAGGAUGCAAUUGUGGAUCCUAGUGACAACAAUCAUUUCCAAAAAGUCUAUGGAAUGUCAACUUAUCAAUAUAUGGAGACAAAUGAAGAGCUUAACAACAUUUUCAUCAAAGCAAUAGCCCAAAUCAGCUCAUUGGAAAUGACAAGGAUACUUAAACUUUAUCAAGGUUUCAAAGGAGUAUCAACAGUUGUUGAUGUAGCAGGUGGUGUUGGGCAGGUCUUAAAACAGAUCAUCUCUGAGCAUCCUUCUAUAAAAGGAAUUAAUUUAGAUUUGCCACAAGUGAUUCAACACGCCCAACCUCAUCCAGGGAUAAAACAUGUUGGAGGAGAUAUGUUUGAAAGUGUUCCAGAAGGGGACGCCAUUUUAUUGAAGCAAGUAUGUCACAAUUGGUCAGAUGAAGAAUGCAUAAAGUUGUUAAGAAAUUGCCACAAAGCUUUGCCAGAAGAAGGAAAGGUGAUUAUUAUAGAAUAUAUAAUUCCAGAAGUCCCAGAUUCAAGCUUAAUAUCCAAGAAUACAUGUAUUGCCGACAAUUUCAUGUUUGCAGUAACUAGUGGAAAGGAAAGAACCGAGAAGGAAUUCGUCAAAUUAUGCACGAAUUCUGGAUUUUCCAGAUUUCAUGUUGCUUGCCGUGAUUUGUCGGUUACGUCAAGAGUUAUGGAGUUUUAUAAAUAGAAAAUAAGUCCUCAGUAUUUGGAAUCUGAAUAUGUUGCUAGAUGAGUUGAAAAAUACUCUAGACGACAAAAUAAAGUAGCAAAGCAUAAAGAGACAGUGUCUAGUCUAUGUAUGAAGUAUCUGUUUUUAUUUAAUUUGUUUCACAUAUUUUCCUUUAUUUUAGGCUUAAUACAUCAGAAGGCCCCUGUAAUUGUAAAGGGAAUCAAAUCCAGGGCCUAGAAAAUUUUUGCAUCAAAUUGGGUCCCUAGAAAAUUUUUUUUAAUUCAAUUAAGGCCAAAGUGUGCCAGCUCUCAA
RNA transcript from Lotus japonicus, 1564 nucleotides. It is a transcript of the gene named isoliquiritigenin 2'-O-methyltransferase-like, with no coding region annotated. The record is from RefSeq and is a predicted model, not a curated record. Lineage: Eukaryota; Viridiplantae; Streptophyta; Magnoliopsida; Fabales; Fabaceae. The transcript has 4 exons.